This 330-nucleotide ribosomal RNA is filed under the name Mesomexovis occidentalis. RNAcentral's name for it is "partial 12S ribosomal RNA". The record is from RNAcentral. Lineage: Eukaryota; Metazoa; Arthropoda; Arachnida; Scorpiones; Vaejovidae.
UAAAAUUUAUAAAAUUAGGUAGUAAAGAAAUUUCUGAAACCUAAAGAAUUUGGCGGUAUUUUAAAUAAUUGGAGGAACCUGUUAUUUAAUUGACAACCCACAACAUAUCUUUCCUAAGUUAAAUUUGUAUAUCGUCGUUUUGAUAAUAUUUAAAAAUUAUAAUCAAUCUUAAUAGAUUUUUAAAAAUCAGAUCAAGGUGCAGUAUACCUAGGUUAUAAUGGGUUACAAUAUAAAUAUAUAUGAUGGAUAUAAAAUUGAAAUUAUAUUGAAAGUGGAUUCAAAAGUAAUAUUAAAUUAAAAUGUUAAUUUGAUUAAUAAUUUAAAAUAUGC